UGAGGAAUAUUGGUCAAUGGGCGAGAGCCUGAACCAGCCAAGUAGCGUGCAGGAUGACGGCCCUAUGGGUUGUAAACUGCUUUUAUGUGGGGAUAAAGUGCGUGACGUGUCAUGCAUUGCAGGUACCACAUGAAUAAGGACCGGCUAAUUCCGUGCCAGCAGCCGCGGUAAUACGGAAGGUCCGGGCGUUAUCCGGAUUUAUUGGGUUUAAAGGGAGCGUAGGCUGUCUAUUAAGCGUGUUGUGAAAUAUACCGGCUCAACCGGUGGCUUGCAGCGCGAACUGGUCGACUUGAGUAUGCAGGAAGUAGGCGGAAUUCAUGGUGUAGCGGUGAAAUGCUUAGAUAUCAUGACGAACUCCGAUUGCGAAGGCAGCUUACGGGAGCGCAACUGACGCUAAAGCUCGAAGGUGCGGGUAUCGAACAGG
This 424-nucleotide ribosomal RNA is filed under the name Verrucomicrobiota bacterium. RNAcentral describes it as "Verrucomicrobia bacterium partial 16S ribosomal RNA". It matches the Rfam family "Bacterial small subunit ribosomal RNA", at positions 355 to 776 of the family's 1533-position model. Lineage: Bacteria; Pseudomonadati; Verrucomicrobiota. The record is from RNAcentral.